RNAcentral lists this ribosomal RNA (301 nucleotides) under uncultured bacterium. Its description in RNAcentral is "partial 16S ribosomal RNA". It matches the Rfam family "Bacterial small subunit ribosomal RNA", at positions 509 to 809 of the family's 1533-position model. The record is from RNAcentral.
CAGUAGCCGCGGGAAUACGUAGGGUGCGAGCGUUAAUCGGAAUUACUGGGCGUAAGGCGUGCGCAGGCGGUUGUGUAAGACAGGUGUGAAAUCCCCGGGCUUAACCUGGGAACUGCGCUUGUGACUGCACAGCUAGAGUAUGGCAGAGGGGGGUGGAAUUCCACGUGUAGCAGUGAAAUGCGUAGAGAUGUGGAGGAACACCGAUGGCGAAGGCAGCCCCCUGGGCCAAUACCGACGCUCAUGCACGAAAGCGUGGGGAGCAAACAGGAUUAGAUACCCGGGUAGUCCCUGUCUCUUAUAA